Molecule: long non-coding RNA, 556 nt
Organism: Silurus meridionalis
Lineage: Eukaryota; Metazoa; Chordata; Actinopteri; Siluriformes; Siluridae
Exons: 3
Source: RefSeq, a predicted model, not a curated record
GUGUGUGUGUGUGUGUGUGUGUGUGUGUGUGUGUGUGUGUUCAAAAAUUCAAAAGCUCUCAUGGAACGUUAAGAUAAAACGAGGUCAGAGAAGCGUGACGUCAUUUUGGCGGGGGAAGUCCUGGAGGCGGAUCCUUGCGAAAGGAUUGUCGCCCGGUGAAGUCCAUCGCUAACCAGCUUAUAUUUGGCACAGCAGUGACACUGACAUGGUAUCUGGGUGUUAGUGUUGUACUGCUAAUAUGAUGGGAUUUACUGUGACCAGUGACCACUGUUCCUGCCCUUCUCCUCUCCUCGGAUCUGCCCACUUCGUCCCAGCCUGCUUCUGGAUGGUGUUCUCUUUGACUGGAGGCCACUCUGGCCACACUGACUUUAGGACUAUAGUUUGCAUCUGAUCACAAUCACUGCACAACAUAAUUGAUCUGUAAUAAAUGGACACUCGAUGCCAUGCAGAAGAGGAUUCGGUUCCCUCGAGUCUGGUUUCUCUCAAGGUUUCUUCCUUAUCCCUUCUCGGGAAGUUUUUUACCUUGCCACAGUCACCACCAGCUUGCUCAUCAGGG